This is a non-coding RNA of Megalopta genalis, 5087 nucleotides long. The record is from RefSeq and is a predicted model, not a curated record. Lineage: Eukaryota; Metazoa; Arthropoda; Insecta; Hymenoptera; Halictidae.
CUUCUUCGCAGCGCAAUACCACUCUCGUGACAGCAUUCGCCAUCUUGCUGAGGUGGACUGAUUCGCUACAACUUCCCGAAUCAGUCGUGCGGUCACUCUGCGGCGAAACAUUUAUUUUUGACAAAAUUCAGGAAUAAAUAGAAUCCAUUUGCUGCCCUUGGCAUUCAUUCUACAUCCCGGAAGUCUCCACGACGCAUGAGCGAAACGUAGAAUUGGUAUUUCUUAUUCCAUAACGAUCUCGGGCUGAAAUAUUUCACGUGUCACACGUUUCUAUACAGUCGAUGGAUUGUCGAUUUUUACGCAAUUACAAAUGAAAGUAGACGCGGGACACUCGCUUGUUUGAUACCGCGAUGAAAAGCUUGGUCGCCAUAUUGAUCGCACCUGCGCGUUUAAUAUGACUGUGAUCCCGCGGUUCUGCGACUUGAAUCAAGGAAAAGAAUCAUGGAAAUCUGGUCUAGAAUGCGAUCACCGUAUAGAUUAAAAGGAACUUUAUGUUGGAUGCUAUUAUACGAAGGAAGCAAGGGAACGAAUGAUGAAUCAUAAUAUGGAACCGGGGAAAUACGUGUGUACGAAACGCUACAAAAUGGGUAUACGGGUCCGAAGUGACCCGGUAUUGGUUGAGCGAGCCAAACGAACGAACCGGUUGUUUUACCGUACACAUUGACAGUGACGCUGACUUUUUGCAGUAAAGUAGUAAAUAGCAUCUACGGCAAGUUGCCAUUUAAGGUUACGUUUCCAUAGAUGGUGGCGCCACGUAUACAAUCAUACAGGGUAUUUUCCACGAUCACGGACAGAGGCUUAAAGUGAGUCACUCGUUCAAAUAGCAGUGUCCGGUUCGUCGCAACGCUAUCAUAGAAGAAAAUAGACGACGAUGCAUCCGGUAUAUCGAUCAGCACUCUCGCCCCCUAUCAAGAAACCAGCAUGUUUCGAUGCGAGACACCACUGUUCCGGCCAGGCGUUCUACUCUACAGAAGUCAGAAGAACAUCGGCAAGGAGGAUCGGAUGAACUCGGAUCGCGCCGCUUCGAACACACGAUUCUCCACGGUCUCUGUGUCUCAGCACUCGUGGAGAAGAGCGAGAAAAGAAUCGAGACCAACGAAAGCGUUCGUCUCAAGUGACGCAGCCUGGCACUGACGCGCGUUACUGCACGCGGUGCUAUUUAAGCCCUCGCAGCGAGUUGCCGCGAGUCUCUCCCACCAGAGAUGCAUCUUGGAUCAGCUGACUACUUUGUUUCGAUUCCCUCUCUUUGUUUGAAAACAACUGUAGGGACACGUUGCAACGCGGUGCGCGGAUUGGCCUUGGCCGCAUCGGCAACCCAUCGAAAUUGGUGCUCGCCGUUCAGCAUAGGAAGGUCGCCUCUAGAUCUCCAGGAUCCUCUUCCGCUUUGUCUCGCGGGACAACGCGGCGAGAUCUUUUCGGGAACCGAUUGGAUUUUCCGCGUUGCACCUUGUCCGCAAGUCGAGGUCAGCCAUUGAGUUUUCCCUGUCCAGAACAGAAAUAGUCGGACACGCGGUUGCGGCCGCGCAAAGGUCUCCCCGGACAACUUCUCUGAAAGAUACGCGAACAGCCGGGCUUCGAUGGAAACAGGAAGAGCUCGGCUGGAUGCAAACACCUUCUAUGACUCAUCUGACGACGCGAACACUGCCGCAACGAGCUCCGUGUUCCCGAUCGCGUCGAUUAGAUUAACGCAUCGUUAUUAUCAUCCUCCCGUAUCCUAUCGCAUUUUGUGGAAAAGCGACAAAAGUCUCUCGCAGUUUCGACGACUGCGUUACAGCCGCGCUUCCUGUUACGCUCUGUUACGGAAUCCGCGUUCCCUUGUAUCGUACUCUUUAAUUAACGCCAAGUUUCUUUCAUCUUUAAUUCAUGAGACGCUAAAGAGCAAUUUCGAACGUAGAUCAAUAUUUCCGGUGUUAUCCGUUUGUCGUUACGCAAUGGGAGAGGCGUGAAGGAAGCGUUCGCGAUCGCGUUCGUCGGCCGCUUUAUGAAACGGUUCUCCCUGGUGUUUGAUUCUGUGUCGCUGUUCGGAUAUUUUAUAUUUCAUGUUCUAUCGCGAGGGGUUACAUAAAUGCGCAAUUAGCGGCGCACCUCGCGCGCAACCAAAAGUCCUCCUGGCCGCUCGGGUCUGACGCGCUUCCGGCUAGCCGCGUGCGAAGGCGAAAGCUUUGUCGAGUCGUUUCUCUGAAAGAUAUUCUUUAAACGCUAAAAGCGUCGUUGGAAGUACAAGGUCACGCAAAUACAAGAAACGACGAUAAUCGUCGUCGCCGUCGGCACGAUGCCUACUGCGCCAUUGCGCGACACUCUUUAUUCCAGCAAGCGUUACUGCCGGGCUCUUUUCACCGUUUGUUUCCAAAGAUAACGCCUAGGGUUUGUUUUUAACAGACGAGAGCAAUAAAAUGCUCCUUUCAGGAAUAAGUACGUAGUGGUCCGCGAAUCGAAGAAAUAGAAUCGGAGAUAUCGGGCACUCCUCGGUGGGAUUACCGAUUGAUAGAGCAUCAUCCCGUAGAUCGGGACGAAGAGCACAAUUAACGAAGGAACCAUUUUAAAAUGGAACACGUGCACGGUCGUUUCGUCGCGAUAAUAAACAACGAAACGAGCGCGUCUGGAGCAGUUGGCAAAAUUGCCAGCUCCAGCCUCUCGUCCUCUUCGCCCCUGUCUCGUCUAUCACGAACAAAAGAGAGCAGCGAACGGAGUUUUGGCGCGCGUCGUGGGAUUCGAGAUCAAGAAGCGUGCACGUUUCGCCACAUUAAACAACGAUUCUACGGCUUUCUCCUCGAGAUCCAACGCGCUGGUUGGCUCGCGAUCGCGAACUGCUGUGGGAAAUUUGCGCCGCGAUACUCCGACGAAAACGGACUUAUUCAAACAAAUACAAAGCGUUCGCUUUUGUUCUUCAGGCGUCGAACAGUUUCCAGGAAGAGGAGGAUUCGACAGCCUUGGGGUAUUCCAGGAUUAUCAGCUGGAAAACAAUUGAGCGACCGCCGGUGGAUCGUCAUCGAUCGGCUCUUUUCUUCUCCGGAGGACUUUGCUCUCCAUUCAUCGCGCAGCCCAGCGCCCAACAGGGAUAAAAUGUUUAUACGAAUCGUCGGUAUGCUUGGCAUGCGGCCAGAGGAUACUGCGCGUGCAUUUCGCGGACCAGAAUAGAUUCGCGGGCCAAAUCUCCCAUGACUUCUCGUUCGUCGUGCUCCUGUUCGCUUUCGCGCGCGCGGAGGAGCGUGCGCGUGCGAGAUAAAAGCUGCAAGCGGAUCGAGAUCGAUGCACGCGGCUUCUGCGCACACGUGUGCAUCUCUCUGCUUUCCCCUCUGUCGCAAUCUCUCUCGUUCUUGCUAGCCCGCUCGCGCGUAUAUCAGCUUGAAACGCGUUUUCGGCUGUUCCAGUCGCCGGCGGGUCUGCUCGAGCCGUAUGGGCGCGGAUCGACUGAUCCGGUGCCAACGACACGCGUCUCGACGAGGGCAAGUAGAUCAUUGGCACCGCGAGUCGUCGAUGACUUUGCGUUUCCGAAAACGACGCGCAAUUUUACGGCAGACGCGCGAUUCUGCUCGAUCGCUCGCCAACUCUGGCGCGUCACAGUCGCAGAUGGAAACAACGAUGUUCCGCGAAUAAAAUCGCGCGAAGAAUAGAUCUUCAUUUUGUCGUCCGGUGACCUUCCGGUCGUAAACGUUUACGGAGACGCAACGCGAGACAAACAAAACGGGUACGACUAAAAUUUUGACGAAAUCAACGAAAUAGAUGCGAUACAGUUUACACUGAUAUGGACCAUGCGAUACGAUAAAGUGAAAGAAUUAUUCGUUGAACGAACACUUCGAGUUUUGGAGAAUAAUGGUAGUUUUCCUGAGUGCUAUAGCAAAACGGACGGAGAGCGCUCGGAACUGCGGAUUCGUUGCGAGCACGCGAGGCGUUGGCCCUAUAAAAUCGCUCGACUUUGACGCAGGUUCUUUGUGCGGCUACUGCGUCGUCCGUUUUUCGAGUAUUUUCAUGUUUACUCAGAAGUCGGACGUCCCGUGCGGAAAUGACGCCGCUAGUUUUAGGUGGGCCGACCUCGAUCCUCUUGAUUCGCGCGUGUUCCCGCGUCUAUUUCGCGCCAAUCAAAUAUUUUCCGACACUGCCGCCCGCGUUUCUCCGCUCUCAACAAAUUCAUUUACUUCUCGUUUCAAUAAUCUAUAUUCAUUUCUUUAUAUUGACUUUACAUCUUUUUAACAAUGAAUCGUAAUACCUUGCGAAGCCAGGAAAUAUAUGUAUAAUAUACAUUCAAGGCUUGUUCAACCUUCGAGUUUAUUAUGGAUGGAAUUCUAUCGUAUCGCGUGUGUUCGUCUUUAUCCGAAUGUGUAGUAUGUACGUGCGUGUUGUGUGGUGUACGCCGUACACGAUUGAAUUUUGCGCGUAGGCAAUGAUCGGGCAUCGUUAAAUCAGUCGCAGCUGACGAGGUUUUCGUUGCAGAGCUGGUUUGCCGACAGUUGUUUCGCGAUUUUUCGCAAGACAGAGAGAUAUACAGAGACUAUUCGGAGAGUACGCGCGGGUUUUCGACAACCAUUCGCUUAUGACUUCAAAGUCGACGUGUUUUACACUACUAUUGAUAUGAAAAAGAGUAACUCCUGCUCAAGACUAUCAAACGCUACUACGAAGUAUCUAUAAUUGCCCGUUACCGUCGCGUCUCAACUCAAAGACACGUUAUUUCGUUACCCUAAUUAAAAUACUUGACUAACCACAGCUACUUGAACCUACACCAAUCGAGAGAAUAAUCUAAACACUGCGCGAACGCAUUCGACGAUCCGCGUUGUACUCUGUCCUCUACUAAUACACGCAUAACCCGUAAAUACAAGCCCUUAAUUAUUUGGUGUUUUCUCCGAUAAGCUAAAAACGAUAAUAUCACGGUCAGAUUACUCACGAGUAUUGUUUCGAGGCCUAUCACGAUAUUCCCUUCGCGCGUGCUUCACAAAACAACGAAACCAAUGACUGAGGAAAUAUACGUUCUCCGGCUGUUACCGUCUAUCCGAAAGCUUUGCCGCUUUGAAUGUGUGUCGAUGUAACUGGGUUUUUAAAGCUCGCGUAGAAAGUUCACUCAAGGGUUAAAUAAAUAUGUAUGUGCUACUGUA